GCUGUGUUAGCUUAGUUGGUAGUGCGUCUGCCUUGUAAGCGCUAGGCCGCGGGUUCGAUUCCCGCCCGGGGCG
RNAcentral lists this transfer RNA (73 nucleotides) under Diaphorina citri (Asian citrus psyllid). It matches the Rfam family "tRNA". From Rfam's summary of the family: Transfer RNA (tRNA) molecules are approximately 80 nucleotides in length. Lineage: Eukaryota; Metazoa; Arthropoda; Insecta; Hemiptera; Psyllidae. The record is from Rfam by way of RNAcentral.